GGGGAUAUAGCUCAGUUGGUAGAGUGCUUGCCUUGCAUGCGCAAGGCCCUGGGUUCAUUCCCCAGCACCACCA
Ictidomys tridecemlineatus (thirteen-lined ground squirrel) is the source of this 73-nucleotide non-coding RNA. The record is from Rfam. Lineage: Eukaryota; Metazoa; Chordata; Mammalia; Rodentia; Sciuridae.